RNAcentral lists this ribosomal RNA (478 nucleotides) under uncultured Bacteroidota bacterium. Its description in RNAcentral is "bacterial SSU rRNA". It matches the Rfam family "Bacterial small subunit ribosomal RNA", at positions 417 to 896 of the family's 1533-position model. Lineage: Bacteria; Pseudomonadati; Bacteroidota. The record is from RNAcentral.
UCUGGGUUGUAAACUUCUUUUAUCAGGGAGAAACCCUUGGAUUCACUCCGAGGCUGACGGUACCUGAAGAAUAAGCACCGGCUAACUCCGUGCCAGCAGCCGCGGUAAUACGGAGGGUGCAAGCGUUAUCCGGAUUUACUGGGUUUAAAGGGUGCGUAGGCGGAUUUGUAAGUCAGUGGUGAAAGCCUGGAGCUUAACUCCGGAAUUGCCAUUGAUACUGCUUAUCUUGAGUACAGUUGAGGUGGGCGGAAUGUGUCAUGUAGUGGUGAAAUGCUUAGAUAUGACACAGAACACCGAUUGCGAAGGCAGCUCGCUAAACUGUAACUGACGCUGAGGCACGAAAGCGUGGGGAUCGAACAGGAUUAGAUACCCUGGUAGUCCACGCCCUAAACGAUGAUCACUCGACAUUGGCGAUAUACUGUCAGUGUCCAAGCGAAAGCGUUAAGUGAUCCACCUGGGGAGUACGACCGCAAGGUUG